Long non-coding RNA from Sander lucioperca (pikeperch), 121 nucleotides. RefSeq lists it as uncharacterized. Lineage: Eukaryota; Metazoa; Chordata; Actinopteri; Perciformes; Percidae. The record is from RefSeq and is a predicted model, not a curated record. The transcript has 3 exons.
AUUUACAGUGUAGUAGGCGGAGUAUGCGCUGAUUGCCUGAUGGGUGUCAGGUUUGAUAAAUACUACGCAAAAUGAGGAUGCAUAGCAUGUGCUAUUACAUAACUUGCAUAAACAGACGCAG